RNAcentral lists this ribosomal RNA (1241 nucleotides) under Escherichia coli. RNAcentral's name for it is "partial 23S ribosomal RNA". It matches the Rfam family "Bacterial large subunit ribosomal RNA", at positions 492 to 1735 of the family's 2925-position model. Lineage: Bacteria; Pseudomonadati; Pseudomonadota; Gammaproteobacteria; Enterobacterales; Enterobacteriaceae. The record is from RNAcentral.
GAACCAGUACCGUGAGGGAAAGGCGAAAAGAACCCCGGCGAGGGGAGUGAAAAAGAACCUGAAACCGUGUACGUACAAGCAGUGGGAGCACGCUUAGGCGUGUGACUGCGUACCUUUUGUAUAAUGGGUCAGCGACUUAUAUUCUGUAGCAAGGUUAACCGAAUAGGGGAGCCGAAGGGAAACCGAGUCUUAACUGGGCGUUAAGUUGCAGGGUAUAGACCCGAAACCCGGUGAUCUAGCCAUGGGCAGGUUGAAGGUUGGGUAACACUAACUGGAGGACCGAACCGACUAAUGUUGAAAAAUUAGCGGAUGACUUGUGGCUGGGGGUGAAAGGCCAAUCAAACCGGGAGAUAGCUGGUUCUCCCCGAAAGCUAUUUAGGUAGCGCCUCGUGAAUUCAUCUCCGGGGGUAGAGCACUGUUUCGGCAAGGGGGUCAUCCCGACUUACCAACCCGAUGCAAACUGCGAAUACCGGAGAAUGUUAUCACGGGAGACACACGGCGGGUGCUAACGUCCGUCGUGAAGAGGGAAACAACCCAGACCGCCAGCUAAGGUCCCAAAGUCAUGGUUAAGUGGGAAACGAUGUGGGAAGGCCCAGACAGCCAGGAUGUUGGCUUAGAAGCAGCCAUCAUUUAAAGAAAGCGUAAUAGCUCACUGGUCGAGUCGGCCUGCGCGGAAGAUGUAACGGGGCUAAACCAUGCACCGAAGCUGCGGCAGCGACGCUUAUGCGUUGUUGGGUAGGGGAGCGUUCUGUAAGCCUGCGAAGGUGUGCUGUGAGGCAUGCUGGAGGUAUCAGAAGUGCGAAUGCUGACAUAAGUAACGAUAAAGCGGGUGAAAAGCCCGCUCGCCGGAAGACCAAGGGUUCCUGUCCAACGUUAAUCGGGGCAGGGUGAGUCGACCCCUAAGGCGAGGCCGAAAGGCGUAGUCGAUGGGAAACAGGUUAAUAUUCCUGUACUUGGUGUUACUGCGAAGGGGGGACGGAGAAGGCUAUGUUGGCCGGGCGACGGUUGUCCCGGUUUAAGCGUGUAGGCUGGUUUUCCAGGCAAAUCCGGAAAAUCAAGGCUGAGGCGUGAUGACGAGGCACUACGGUGCUGAAGCAACAAAUGCCCUGCUUCCAGGAAAAGCCUCUAAGCAUCAGGUAACAUCAAAUCGUACCCCAAACCGACACAGGUGGUCAGGUAGAGAAUACCAAGGCGCUUGAGAGAACUCGGGUGAAGGAACUAGGCAAAAUGGUGCCGUAACU